AUGGUUGUCGUCAGCUCGUGUCGUGAGAUGUUGGGUUAAGUCCCGCAACGAGCGCAACCCUUAAGCUUAGUUGCCAUCAUUAAGUUGGGCACUCUAAGUUGACUGCCGGUGACAAACCGGAGGAAGGUGGGGAUGACGUCAAAUCAUCAUGCCCCUUAUGAUUUGGGCUACACACGUGCUACAAUGGACAAUACAAAGGGCAGCGAAACCGCGAGGUCAAGCAAAUCCCAUAAAGUUGUUCUCAGUUCGGAUUGUAGUCUGCAACUCGACUAUAUGAAGCUGGAAUCGCUAGUAAUCGUAGAUCAGCAUGCUACGGUGAAUACGUUCCCGGGUCUUGUACACACCGCCCGUCACACCACGAGAGUUUGUAACACCCGAAGCCGGUGGAGUAACCA
This 395-nucleotide ribosomal RNA is filed under the name Staphylococcus epidermidis. RNAcentral's name for it is "bacterial SSU rRNA". It matches the Rfam family "Bacterial small subunit ribosomal RNA", at positions 1045 to 1441 of the family's 1533-position model. Lineage: Bacteria; Bacillati; Bacillota; Bacilli; Caryophanales; Staphylococcaceae. The record is from RNAcentral.